GACGAACGCUGGCGGCGUGCUUAACACAUGCAAGUCGAACGGAAAGGCCCUGCUUUUGUGGGGUGCUCGAGUGGCGAACGGGUGAGUAACACGUGAGUAACCUGCCCUUGACUUUGGGAUAACUUCAGGAAACUGGGGCUAAUACCGGAUAGGAGCUCCUGCUGCAUGGUGGGGGUUGGAAAGUUUCGGCGGUUGGGGAUGGACUCGCGGCUUAUCAGCUUGUUGGUGGGGUAGUGGCUUACCAAGGCUUUGACGGGUAGCCGGCCUGAGAGGGUGACCGGCCCCAUUGGGGCUGAGGUACGGGCCAGACUCCUACGGGGGGCAGCAGUGGGGAAUAUUGCACAAUGGGCGGAAGCCUGAUGCAGCAACGCCGCGUGCGGGAUGACGGCCUUCGGGUUGUAAACCGCUUUCGCCUGUGACGAAGCGUGAGUGACGGUAAUGGGUAAAGAAGCACCGGCUAACUACGUG
RNAcentral lists this ribosomal RNA (468 nucleotides) under uncultured bacterium. RNAcentral describes it as "partial 16S ribosomal RNA". It matches the Rfam family "Bacterial small subunit ribosomal RNA", at positions 28 to 507 of the family's 1533-position model. The record is from RNAcentral.